RNAcentral lists this ribosomal RNA (468 nucleotides) under uncultured bacterium. Its description in RNAcentral is "partial 16S ribosomal RNA". It matches the Rfam family "Bacterial small subunit ribosomal RNA", at positions 28 to 507 of the family's 1533-position model. The record is from RNAcentral.
GACGAACGCUGGCGGCGUGCUUAACACAUGCAAGUCGAACGGAAAGGCCCUGCUUUUGUGGCGUGCUCGAGUGGCGAACGGGUGAGUAACACGUGAGUAACCUGCCCUUGACUUUGGGAUAACUUCAGGAAACUGCGGCUAAUACCGGAUAGGAGCUCCUGCUGCCUGGUGGGGGUUGGAAAGUUUCGGCGGUUGGGGAUGUACUCGCGGCUUAUCAGUCUGUUGGUGGGGUAGUGGCUUACCAAGGCUUUGACGGGUAGCCGGCCUGAGAGGGUGACCGGCCCCAUGGGGACUGAGAUACGGCCCGGACUCCUACGGGAGGCAGGAGUGGGGAAGAGUGCACAAUGGGGGGAAGCCUGAUGCAGCAACGCCGCGUGCGGGAUGACGACCUUCGGGUUGUAAACCGCUUUCGCCUGUGACGAAGCGUGAUUGACGGUAAUGGAUAAAGAAGCACCGGCUAACUACGUG